CCUCGCGUCCGAUUAGCUAGUUGGUGAGGUAAUGGCCCACCAAGGCAACGAUCGGUAGCCGGACUGAGAGGUUGAACGGCCACAUUGGGACUGAGACACGGCCCAGACUCCUACGGGAGGCAGCAGUGGGGAAUAUUGCACAAUGGGGGAAACCCUGAUGCAGCGACGCCGCGUGGAGGAAGAAGGUCUUCGGAUUGUAAACUCCUGUUGUUGAGGAAGAUAAUGACGGUACUCAACAAGGAAGUGACGGCUAACUACGUGCCAGCAGCCGCGGUAAAACGUAGGUCACAAGCGUUGUCCGGAAUUACUGGGUGUAAAGGGAGCGCAGGCGGGAAGACAAGUUGGAAGUGAAAUCCAUGGGCUCAACCCAUGAACUGCUUUCAAAACUGUUUUUCUUGAGUAGUGCAGAGGUAGGCGGAAUUCCCGGUGUAGCGGUGGAAUGCGUAGAUAUCGGGAGGAACACCAGUGGCGAAGGCGGCCUACUGGGCACCAACUGACGCUGAGGCUCGAAAGUGUGGGUAGCAAACAGGAUUAGAUACCCUGGUAGUCCACACCGUAAACGAUGAUUACUAGGUGUUGGAGGAUUGACCCCUUCAGUGCCGCAG
Molecule: ribosomal RNA, 605 nt
Filed under: uncultured bacterium
Lineage: Bacteria
Description: bacterial SSU rRNA
Rfam family: Bacterial small subunit ribosomal RNA
Source: RNAcentral